ACCUGUUGUAGGAAUGAAGUCUAUAUUGUGUAUCGGAUUGAAGUUCUUACAAGGCUACAUUCAGACCCUACUGGGAACUCUAGCAAUUGGAGGACUGGACGAAGUUGGUUUUUUCAUCAGGUCCGCUCAAACUGUGUACUUCUCCAACAUCGCAAGUUCCUUCGGCAAGUAAAUGUCCGUGAGUCGUAUACAGAUAUUUCUCCGAACAUGUGGGAAUUUCAGUUGGCACGCAUUCAGUGCAGAACUCGUUAUUCCAUACACACUCAUGGGGUGAGAAUGUUUUUGUAUGUGGCUUAGCAGGGUUUUCUUGCUUCGAGGGGUUGUGAAACAGGAGUCGAAUACGGUGCGACUCGGCUGAUAGAUCGACCUAGUUCAUAAUUCGAUUGCGACGAGAGAAGGUAUGGUGUUUGUUUGCGCCGAAUUUGAGCUCUUUCCUAUACAUGGUGUUUUCUUCCCCUGCGAACAGUGUUAAAGUUGAUACAAGCAGCGGAGCUUUGUUUUCAACAGUACGCGGCCUGCAAAUCACAGGCAAUCGAUUUUUCGGCCAUAGCGGCGUUCGGUUAUCGACGGUUUUACCCCCAUCUUUGGUAAGACGGUGUUGUUAUCAAUUAAUCAAAUAUAUUCACACUUGUCAGACUUCUAUAUUUGCAGGUCCGGCGGCAGGGAGAGGCCUACCUCGCUGGGAGCUAGCUGGUCGGUCAGACCUAAAACCACAGACCAGCUGGAAAAAGUGUCACUGGCAGACCUAGAAUUUGGAGCAGAAGAGAUUGGAGAUGACGACGACGAUGAUGAUGAUUUUGAUGAUGGAAAGAGUGUUGGUUUAGGAGUCUUGUUUCCACCUGACGAAGGAUUCUACAUGCAUGGUGUAUAUGGAAAGGCUUACAGCACUAGCUCAAACCAAAAUAGAUGUAAAAUGCAACAAGAAAAAUUGCAAAGAAUUGGUAGAAAGAAUUCAAUCCCAAAAAGGAUCUGCUGUCUACCUCACAUGAGAACUAUGGGGAGCUACUCUACACCAUUGUGUUAACGAACAUCAGUGGGCUUUGGCUUAUGGCAAAUCAGGCUUUGGUCAAUACAGUCACUGACAAAUAGCCGAAGCAGACCGAGACCAGGAAUGUUUAGAAAAGGGAAGUGCAGCUCACAAUGCACUCUGAAGGAUUGUAUUGGAUACUAGGUUUCUGCGUCAGGUGCCUUACUACUUGAACUUCAGAUACCAGAGAAAUUUCAACAAAAAUAACUAGCAGGUAGGCUGUACAUACCGCCAAGGAAGAGAAGUCGUACACUUAUGUUGAAGGACUUUUAGAAUCUGGAGUGGAGAACCGUUUGGCAGAUCGAGUUAGGAUGAAGGGAGGACCAACUAUGGCACCAAAGGACCCCAGACGGGUUGCGAAGACCAUUGCUCCAGUACCACCUCCCCCAACGUCUGAGCUCGUAAAGCAACAGAAAAGUAGACUGAAGUAAAUCUUAUCUUGGCCUGUUCCAUAACCCGGAUUUGUGAUGUAUAGUGGGAUGUUCAGAGGACGUUUUUGAUUAAGAAUGAACAUUCAAUUUUCUUAAAAACAGAAUUUGCAAUAGUGUUCAUGAACAGUUUUAAAAUAUUUUGAUUUCUUGUUUAAUUUGGCACAGUUCUUGCCUCAGUAUUCUAGUUUCAUUAAUUUUGUGACUUAGUUUGGCUGAUUCCUGAAGGACAAAUGAAUCUAUACUGUGCUGUGGCAUCCAUCUGUCUGUCAGUUUUGAGAUCUUUAAUCAUCUUCAACAACACAAAGAUACUUAAUUUAAAUAUUUUUGCACAUAACAUGCUGUAAUGGAGUCAUUUCAUGUUUGUUACCACAAAGAAAUGACCUUCAAUUGCUUUUUAGAUGAUUUAGGUCAAAUUGUCUAAAUUUCCAAGUAACAUUUAGAAAAUCUGAAGACCCAUGAUGUCUGUUUUGUCUGUGGCAUACUGGGAUGCUGUCAAAUUUGAGCCAAUAUACAUAUAUGCUGUUUCAGCUUUUCAUUUUUAGGCUAACGCACUCGGUAUGCAUAGCCUAUUGUGACUGCCUUUCAGACAAAAUUUACCGAUCAUGGCCUUCUCAUUGGCUAAAAUAUCGAAAAGAGUU
Molecule: long non-coding RNA, 2096 nt
Organism: Ylistrum balloti
Lineage: Eukaryota; Metazoa; Mollusca; Bivalvia; Pectinida; Pectinidae
Exons: 4
Source: RefSeq, a predicted model, not a curated record